RNAcentral lists this ribosomal RNA (253 nucleotides) under uncultured bacterium. RNAcentral describes it as "partial 16S ribosomal RNA". It matches the Rfam family "Bacterial small subunit ribosomal RNA", at positions 524 to 776 of the family's 1533-position model. The record is from RNAcentral.
UACGUAGGGAGCAAGCGUUGUCCGGAAUCAUUGGGCGUAAAGCGCGCGUAGGCGGCCCUGUAAGUCCGUUGUGAAAGUCAAAGGCUCAACCUUUGAAAGCCGAUGGAUACUGCAGGGCUAGAGUCCGGAAGAGGCGAGUGGAAUUCCUGGUGUAGCGGUGGAAUGCGCAGAUAUCAGGAGGAACACCGGUGGCGAAGGCGGUUCUCUGGGCAUGAUCUGACGCUGAGGAGCGAAAGUGUGGGGAGCGAACAGG